RNAcentral lists this ribosomal RNA (478 nucleotides) under uncultured bacterium. RNAcentral describes it as "partial 16S ribosomal RNA". It matches the Rfam family "Bacterial small subunit ribosomal RNA", at positions 28 to 523 of the family's 1533-position model. The record is from RNAcentral.
GACGAACGCUGGCGGCGUGCCUAACACAUGCAAGUCGAGCGGAGCUAGUAGCAAUAUUAGUCUAGCGGCGGACGGGUGAGUAGCGCGUGGGCAAUCUGCCUUCUACAGGGGGAUAACACAGGGAAACUUGUGCUCAUACCGCAUAACAUACUUAAGGGACAUCCCUUGGGUAUCAACGGAGCAAUCCGGUAGAAGAUGGGCCCUCGUCCGAUUAGCUAGUUGGAGGUUUAACGGACCACCAAGGCGACGAUCGGUAGCCGAAUUGAGAGGUUGAGCGGCCACAUUGGGACUGAGACACGGCCCAGACUCCUACGGGAGGCAGCAGUGGGGAAUAUUGCGCAAUUGGGGAAACCCUGACGCAGCAACGCCGCGUGAAGGAUGAAGGUCUUCGGAUUGUAAACUUCUUUAGUCGGGGACGAAGAAAUGACGGUACCCGAAGAAUAAGCCACGGCUAACUACGUGCCAGCCGCCGCAGUAA